GAGAGAGAGAGAGAGAGAGACGUGGCACAGGAACUACAAAACCCAGACUCCGAACUCAAAGAACAGCGAGACCCUGAACUCGUGAAUUGUAACCCACCUACAAAUCAAAAUAAAGAAAUAGCAGAAGCCAAAACCUUGCCGGUGAACCACUCCAGGCUCCCCAAACUUAAAGGCAGGCAAGGACCCGUCAACAGUUAUACCACAAGACCAAAUUCCAAUAAAGCUAUCAACUUUUCCACACAGAAACCAGAAUCCGAGGAGAGUGAAACAAGGAAAGCAAAAGGCACAGUAACCCAGAUCACGAUAC
RNAcentral lists this unclassified non-coding RNA (307 nucleotides) under Hevea brasiliensis (rubber tree). Lineage: Eukaryota; Viridiplantae; Streptophyta; Magnoliopsida; Malpighiales; Euphorbiaceae. The record is from RNAcentral.